This 253-nucleotide ribosomal RNA is filed under the name uncultured bacterium. RNAcentral's name for it is "partial 16S ribosomal RNA". It matches the Rfam family "Bacterial small subunit ribosomal RNA", at positions 524 to 776 of the family's 1533-position model. The record is from RNAcentral.
UACGAAGGGUGCAAGCGUUACUCGGAAUUACUGGGCGUAAAGCGUGCGUAGGUGGUUUGUUAAGUCUGAUGUGAAAGCCCUGGGCUCAACCUGGGAAUUGCAUUGGAUACUGGCAGGCUAGAGUGCGGUAGAGGGUAGUGGAAUUCCCGGUGUAGCAGUGAAAUGCGUAGAGAUCGGGAGGAACACCAGUGGCGAAGGCGGCGAUCUGGGUCGAUACUGACGCUGAGGUGCGAAAGCGUGGGGAGCAAACAGG